Molecule: ribosomal RNA, 429 nt
Filed under: Acidobacteriota bacterium
Lineage: Bacteria; Pseudomonadati; Acidobacteriota
Description: Acidobacteria bacterium partial 16S ribosomal RNA
Rfam family: Bacterial small subunit ribosomal RNA
Source: RNAcentral
UGGGGAAUUUUGGACAAUGGGGGAAACCCUGAUCCAGCCAUCCCGCGUGUGCGAUGAAGGCCUUCGGGUUGUAAAGCACUUUUGGCAGGAAAGAAACGUCAUGGGUUAAUACCCCGUGAAACUGACGGUACCUGCAGAAUAAGCACCGGCUAACCACGUGCCAGCAGCCGCGGUAAUACGUAGGGUGCAAGCGUUAAUCGGAAUUACUGGGCGUAAAGCGUGCGCAGGCGGUUCGGAAAGAAAGAUGUGAAAUCCCAGAGCUCAACUUUGGAACUGCAUUUUUAACUACCGGGCUAGAGUGUGUCAGAGGGAGGUGGAAUUCCGCGUGUAGCAGUGAAAUGCGUAGAUAUGCGGAGGAACACCGAUGGCGAAGGCAGCCUCCUGGAAUAAAACUGACGCUCAUGCACGAAAGCGUGGGGGGCAAACAGG